Molecule: ribosomal RNA, 301 nt
Filed under: uncultured bacterium
Lineage: Bacteria
Description: partial 16S ribosomal RNA
Rfam family: Bacterial small subunit ribosomal RNA
Source: RNAcentral
CAGUCGCCGCGGGAAUACGUAGGUGGCAAGCGUUGUCCGGAAUUAUUGGGCGUAAAGGGCUCGCAGGCGGUUUCUUAAGUCUGAUGUGAAAGCCCCCGGCUCAACCGGGGAGGGUCAUUGGAAACUGGGAAACUUGAGUGCAGAAGAGGAGAGUGGAACUCCACGUGUAGCGGUGAAAUGCGUAGAGAUGUGGAGGAACACCAGUGGCGAAGGCGACUCUCUGGUCUGUAACUGACGCUGAGGAGCGAAAGCGUGGAGAGCGAACAGGAUUAGAUACCCGCGUAGUCCCUGUCUCUUAUAC